RNAcentral lists this long non-coding RNA (3553 nucleotides) under Physcomitrium patens. RNAcentral's name for it is "long non-coding RNA (PPAT_LNC011898)". The record is from RNAcentral. Lineage: Eukaryota; Viridiplantae; Streptophyta; Bryopsida; Funariales; Funariaceae.
UUGAUUCUUGGCAUCCCAUUACUUUCACCGUCACACUGGGUUGGUGCUUCUUUUUUAUUUCUUUCUUUAUGUAUUCUUAUUUAAUUAAACUAAAAGAUAAUUAUAGAUUACAACAUUCCUCACCCUUCUUCACUGUCUAUAUUACUUGUCCUCAAUAAUAACUACAUUCUAUGGUAAUUGUAUUUAAUUUAUUCUCAAUCAAUAUGUAUGCAUGUAUGUUUUUAGGUGAAAAAUAUGAAAAAAUAUGAAAAAUAUUCAUCCUCAAAGAAAAAUAAUAAAGACCACACCACUCCACUUGGAGCAUGCUCGCAAUUUCAUAAAGAAUGUUGUAAUUAAUUCUCUCUUUUAAAAUACAAGAAUUGUUUGGCCCCAAUUAUUGAUCUGCUCAUUGAGACGAGUAUACGAAUGUCCUUAAGUUCAUUAAAAAACUUCAAUCUCUUAUAAUAUAAAAUUUUCAGAUGAGAAUAUAUAUAUAUAUAUAUAUAUAUAUAUAUUAGAUUGGUGAUCAUAAAACUGCAGCUAAAAUUGAUGAUCCACAUUUCAGUUGCCCUCAUAAUGUUGGGACCCACAUGAUUGGUUGCUUGUAAAUUUAAAAUGGAUUCAUCCACCAAACACUGGAUUUCAAUUUUCUUUAUUUGAUGAGCUUAUAAAAAAAUUAAUAUUUCUAUAAAAAUUCAAAAAUUCAAAAUAUUCCUUUGAAAUAAAUAGUAAUCUAAUUGAUGUAGAGUAAAAUAAAUCAGUUGAAUAUCUCUACAGUUGUAAAUUUUAGUUUUUUUUUUAGUUUUUUUUAGUUUUUUAGUUUUUUAGUUUUUGAGUUUUUGAGUUUUUUUUUUUUUUUUUUUUUUUUUUUUUUUGACCCAAGACACAUCCCAAAUUAUAGACAAACUUUAUUUGAUGAAAGAUGCUUAAUAUAAUUCAUGAAUCAAUUUAUUGAAUAGUUAACUUCAGACACUAAACAUAACAUUCCAAAGUGCCAUCAACUUUAUGGUAUUACAUGUACACACAGUAUGAAAAAAGGAAAGAUAAGUCCAAGAGAAGAGAAAUUUUGAAUAAAUGUGAAGCUAUAGGAACAUUUUUGUUUGUUGCUCUGUUAAUGCCCACAUUAUAAUCAAUAUGACUAAAAAGUAUAUGCAAAAUUAUUAACAUCAAUAACUACAAAAAUACUACAAGGUAAGCAACCCUGAUAAAUUUUCAUACAUUUUCCAUUCACUAAUAUCUGAUGAAUGAACAAGAGGAGUGAGAUAAAGACCUACAAAUUAGUUACAUAUUACCUGGGCAAUCAAGGAUGAAUGAUUGUCAAUUCAAAACCAAAUCUGUUUUGUGUAGGAGUAGAGUAAAGAACCAGCUGAGAAAAGGUACCAGACAAGUUCUUUCUGUGCUAUGAGAAACCAACAAUGGCACUACAAACAGGGUCUCCAGAUCAGAGUAUCCAGAACCAUUACAAAGGGAUGGGUUGCAUGGGGAGCAGUGAGAGGCCCUGUACUCAUGUUGUUUCGAAGGGGAAAGCAUCCAAUUUUGCAGAACAGGUACCCAGCUUGCACCUCUGACCUUUUUACUUCAUCUGUCCAUUGUUCAUCUGUCUCUACAACACAUAAAUGUUGGGUAACUGCCUCAAAUUAUGUGAACAAUUCACUGAUAAACAAAAUCAAUUGUUGGGAAUCCCUAAAGUAUUGGUAUAAGGGUGCAUGGUUAAAGAUCUAGAGGUUUUGAAAAAAAGCAAAACACAAACAUAAACACAAAAAUAUUUGAGAACAAUUAAAUAGAACAAAAAAUUAGGAUUUAUUAAAAUGUUCUCAUUUGGGGAGCCAUUAGGAUUUUCUAUUCAUUCAGUACCAUGUACCAGCUGCUUACCUAUUCUGCAACUGCAGAAAGCAUCAAGUUUGGUUUUCUCAUCAAUGGGCACCAUUCCUGCCCCAUCAAUGGUCAGUUGUUGAAAGUGAAGCAAAUAGGAUUAAGAUGGGGGCACCUGUAUGAUUUCCUCAUAUACAAAGCACUAAGGGAGGAAGCUUAAUCAAUGAAGGCUUAAUGAGGAAGAGUUUUAUUUUAUUUUAUUUUUCUGGGACACAAGUAGAGGUUUAUUGCAGUAAAAGGGUUAAUUUACAAUGGAAGAGCUUUUUCACACUCCUGUGUACUGGCAGAGCACAGAAAUGAUGUUCCUGUUUGUCUUGCCAUUUCUUGUUUAAAGGAGAAUGUCAUUAGUUACAAAAUGAUUGGGUUGCUUGAUUGCUUACUUGUUUCAGGAGAGCUGCAGAGGGAUGUGAAUGCAUUUUCCUUGACAGUUCACUCAGUGAUAAGAGCUUCGAAAGCAUUCAAAAAUGUAAUCCCCUGAGUGAUGAACUGAUUGCUGAAUGCCUGGGGGAAACUGGGAAUCUGCAGGUUUUGAUGUGACUAGACAGCAGUAGUUCCUUCGAAUGAUCCACAUGAAUAUGACUGGAACAUGUUGAAUGAUGCCAUCUUGUGAUUCUACCAGAGCACUUGAAGAGAUAACAGCUGCUUGUUGCAUUUCCUGCACAGGUCAGCCUAGUAUUAUUCUAACCGUUACACAACUUUUCAAACACAUCUUCCAAUAUUUACUGCGUGCUAUAGUAAAACGUUCUGUUACUUCUUGGUCAAAAAUCUCAUUAUCAUUAGGCUUGGUUUACUUCAAGGCACAUUCUCAUAUUUUACACUCUCCUCUCGAAAGUAACAAUUCCUUACAUUCUGAGUGCAACUUGCAGUAAUCGGUACGGGAGGAAAUUAUCAUGCUGAAUCUCGAAACUUCUUUCUUCUGCCAUUAGUACUGCAAACAUCAUUAUUUGUAUUUCAUCUCUGCAAGCGUGCGUCAGCACAAAUGAACAUUCUCUAUGACAAAUCUUAUGCUUCUCAAAGUGACAUUCCAUCGAUUAUUAGGCACGCCUCCCCCGUUGUUCAGACCAAUUUCGGGAGGGUAAUUCUUUUGGCUGGUAUGUUUCCAGAAUUGCGACACACAAACCUUCUUUGAGCAGUUUCUAGAGCAGAGAUCAGUAUCCUGUAAAUCCCCAUUUCAUAUACACGAAUUCGGCAAUACAUGAUUCAAUUAAAUGCGGAGACAGAAUAGUUGUGAAUGCGAAAUUUGGAUCUGCAAGAGGAAUUUUUCCAAUCCUCCUAGAUAUAAACUUUGGGAGACUCCGUCUUUCGACAUCCAACUACGUCACUGUCACUCCAGAAAUCAGAUACCUUAAGGAACCACAUCCAAAAAUUAAGCUAAGACUAAAUAAAAUUCUGCAUUAUCUGAACGAAUGUGAAGUGUCACGGCUUCCAAAGCUAUCUUGGUGCAAUUCAGUGUGACCUUACUCUGAAAACAGCAUUGAGGAGGUCCCAAAAAAGUUCUGGCAAACUAACUCUCUUAAAUGGUGCAAUUUUUCCAUCAGUAAAAAUUGGACUGGACAACUUACAGCAGAAAAAUGAACCGGUGUUUCUAUGUCAAAAUCUCAGUUCUCCAGUGCUAAGGGAACAAAAUGAAGUGACAGUAAUCCUCUACCCAAUGAUUCUAAGUUUGAAAAUUCGUAUGACGUGCUCCAUGAAAAGCAUUUGG